RNAcentral lists this ribosomal RNA (459 nucleotides) under uncultured bacterium. RNAcentral describes it as "partial 16S ribosomal RNA". It matches the Rfam family "Bacterial small subunit ribosomal RNA", at positions 338 to 795 of the family's 1533-position model. The record is from RNAcentral.
CCUACGGGGGGCUGCAGUGAGGAAUAUUGGUCAAUGGACGCAAGUCUGAACCAGCCAUGCCGCGUGCAGGAAGACGGCUCUAUGAGUUGUAAACUGCUUUUGUACGAGGGUAAACGCAGAUACGCGUAUCGGUCUGAAAGUAUCGUACGAAUAAGGAUCGGCUAACUCCGUGCCAGCAGCCGCGGUAAUACGGAGGAUUCGAGCGUUAUCCGGAUUUAUUGGGUUUAAAGGGUGCGUAGGCGGAGCGUUAAGUCAGUGGUAAAAUUGAGGGGCUCAACCCCUUCCCGCCAUUGAAACUGGCGCUCUUGAGUGGAAGAGAAGUAUGCGGAAUGCGUGGUGUAGCGGUGAAAUGCAUAGAUAUCACGCAGAACCCCGAUUGCGAAGGCAGCAUGCCGGCUUCCUACUGACGCUGAUGCACGAAAGCGUGGGUAUCGAACAGGAUUAGAUACCCCAGUAGUC